UACGGAGGGGGCUAGCGUUGUUCGGAAUUACUGGGCGUAAAGCGCACGUAGGCGGAUAUUUAAGUCAGGGGUGAAAUCCCGGGGCUCAACCCCGGAACUGCCUUUGAUACUGGGUAUCUCGAGUCCGAGAGAGGUGUGUGGAAUUCCGAGUGUAGAGGUGAAAUUCGUAGAUAUUUGGAGGAACACCAGUGGCGAAGGCGGCUCACUGGCUCGGUACUGACGCUGAGGUGCGAAAGCGUGGGGAGCAAACAGG
This 253-nucleotide ribosomal RNA is filed under the name uncultured bacterium. Its description in RNAcentral is "partial 16S ribosomal RNA". It matches the Rfam family "Bacterial small subunit ribosomal RNA", at positions 524 to 776 of the family's 1533-position model. The record is from RNAcentral.